CCCAAAGAAAAAAACAAAUGUUACCCAAUAGGCAAACAAUGCUGAGAGUUCACUUCCUCUAACUCUGUAGUUAAGUUACUCACUCAGUAUAACAUCACCCUCCUGCCAGGGGUUGAAGUCAGGAAGUAGUUUAUUUUCGCUGAAACUGAAGGGGGAAGUUAAAGAGAAAAAUAGCUGCAACUUGGUCAAUUCAGGAAAACCAGGUACGAAAAAAGAGGAGCAAGUUAAAGGGAAAGCCAGCUCGGAUUUGCUCACCAGUAAAAGGCAAAAAUCCCAGUGUUAUUCAUCUGCAUUUGGUGUGAAAGACAAAAGCUCAACUGGGAUCUGAGGCUUUCUGUGUCAGAGGGCAAGGAGUCAAUGGGGUUAUGAGGAAGUAAGACCACUUGAGACAUCAAAGAAAAGUAGAUCAAAUCACUAGACUCCUCCAAACAGGAGUGGGUGAAGACAAAAAGUGGAGAGAAUCCAGAGGGAAGAGAGGAGUAGGGAAAAUGGUGGAAAGGGAAGGUUUUUGAGAUGGAAGGCAGAGAAUGGGAACAAAAGAAGAAAAAGCUGUUUGUUUCAAAUCAAUAUUCUCCAAGAGGAUGUCUUGUUUCCCCAGGGAUAUUCUGAGGGACUCACAGGAUCAGAGCUGCGACACUUCUAACAUAUGAAUUCUCUCAAUUCUGAUGCCCUUUGACCUCUGCCACACAAUGCCAAGACAAACCCAGACCCCAGGCCCUGGAAACAGAGGAGGGGCAGGACGUGAUAGAGCUUCAGCAACAUGGAGAGGAGAUAGCCGGUCUGGCUAGGAUGGAAGAAAUGUACAUGGAGAAGAAAGACAGAAGAACCAUCACUGAGCACUAAACUAAUCAGCCAUAAUGUGUAAAUUGACUGGCAAGCCUAUCACCACCUUGAUAACAGAUGACAUUAAAGAGAAAGUAUCAAUGUGAGGAUUAAAUGGGAUGAAAAAUAAAACAUCUGUCGGAGUGCCUGGAAUAUGGUACACAAAUAUCCAAGAUUGGAAAGAAGAAAGAAAAUGACGACAGAAUUUUGCAGUCUACAAGGCAAACACUGCCAUUCAUGUAGUUAUGGAGUUCCUACUAUGUGCAGACAAUGGGAAACUUUACGAAGGGUUUUAAAAAGCAGCAGGUUUAAGAGCUGACCAUAUCUGAAAGACUCUAGAAUAGCAGAGGAUUGAUUAAAGGUCUGUGGCCACAGAUUGGAUGUGUUGAUUUUAUUUCCCCAAAGGUAUCCACAUAGCAACUUGGCAGUACACACAUAUCCCAAAUAUAUGUACACAGUGUUUACAGAAAAUACUAAUUGUACCCUUACCUAAAAUGUUAGGUCCCAUUUUCAUUUUAAAGACUCAUUAUGCUUUUCAUGAACUAACACUUUUGUUCAUUUCAAUUCUGUCAUGAAUUCGAAAGAAGGACACAGCAAAUAGGUACUUAACUAAAGUAAGUGCUUUCUCCCAUGGUUUUAUCAAUCCAAGUCUAUGGACAUAAUACAGAAUCAAGAAUCCAAGGAAACUGCUCUGAAUUUCACUGUAAGCAUAGCUCAUUUUUUUGACCUGUUGAUUGCAGUUAAUUUAACGUCACGACCUGCACCUCAGAAUCUCUCAUGUCCCCUGCAGCUUUGUCAAGAUGCUUUGUAUAUAGCUGGUACCCAGAGAAGGUUUGCCACAUUGCACGGAGUUGAUCACCCAUUUUAUUCACUGGAUUUGGCUUUGAGCAACUUACACUUUUUUCUCUCCAAAAAUUAAGUCCACCCACGAAGGAAAAAGGCAGAAGGAUGCUGUGGCAAAAAUGCUAUCCUGGAAAACAGAUCUUGGCCCUGGUCCCAGCUCUCUGUGACUUUGGACACAUCAGUUGAUCUUUUUAGAUCAAAUUUCCCCAUAAAAGGGGGUACUAGACAAGAUGCAUGUGCCAGACUGCCAAGGCCAAGGCACACCCUAAGCCACUCAUAGUAAUAUCCCUGGAACUGUAGACCCUUGCAGAGAGAUUAUAGAAGUGAUUUUGAAUAAUUAUUGAGUUAAGUGCUAGCAUUCCAGCAUGACCGCUUCAAAAGAGGUAAUGCAUAUUUUUUUUUGUAUUUUUUUGGCUUUUUUUAAAGUUACAUUACUUUAGUGUUAUAUGUCAUAUAGUCAUUAGGAAUUCCAAGAGAGCAAAUGUCAACAAAGGUCUGAAGUUGUUUGGCAUUUUAUCAAUCAUUAUUUAGAGUUUUCUUUUUUUCUUUUUUUUUUCUUAAUGUGGUUAGGGACACAGAGGUUCAUGUGAUGUAAUAAGAAAGAAAUAAAGGAAGCUUUAUCUGCCGCUCUUUCAACCUCAUCCACUCAACACUUACCCCGUGACAGACCCCAAUACUCUUAAUGAAUUCCCAAGGUUACGAAAGAACUUGGAAGAUCUUACAUUCCUACAUGGUGAUUACAGAGGCUCACAUUUUGCCAAGUCAUAUGCAGGUGGCUGAAAAGUAAGUUUACUUUAUCUGCAUUUCAUAUUACACUUGUUCUUUCUUAUGAAUGUUUCUUUCAUAGUCAUGCAAAGUACUCAAUCAGUAAUUCCCCACCAAAAUGGUUGUUACAUAAGCGGCCGUGCAACAAUGCAUAUGUCAGCUCAGAUUCAUGUCAGAGAAAGUUCUCUAGUUUAUAUAACUCACUCCCCAGCAGCCAGUACACAGUUCAAAAAGUGUGGGCCUUUACAUUAUGGCGGGAGGGAGGUUAUUUUGUUUUGUUUGUUUUUUUUUAACACAUCACAUAAAUACACUUCCUUUCUCCUUUGUAACGUAUGGGAUACAUGGAAUUCCUAACUCACACAGAUCUCACUGUAGACCCAAUGAAUGGCACGGAGCCGACACAAACACCCACACACUUGUCUCAGUUACAGAUCUCUGCUAAAGACCAGAAGUUGGCCAUUACUAUGAAUAUACACUUCUGUUGGAUUUCUAUGGUAUUUGGUUUCAUUAGAUUGUAUGUUAAGUUAAAUAUGUUUUUUAAAGUUUCAUUCUCCUACCUCAAGUUACGGUGCAUCAAGGGGUCUCAGAGAGAAGUGGAGCUGCCACCUCAAUGUCCCGACCCCAGAGAGGAGCCUCUCAAGCCACCCCAAGGCAGCUGAGCCCCAGCUCGCACCAGAUCACUGUGGAGCAGAACCAAUUUUUAAAUGUCUUCAUCUGGUCCCUCCUACUUUUAUGGUGCUCUGGGGGUGGUGAGAAUCGGGAUGCACUGAAAGCUGCUGGGACAUCUGACUCUUUAUUUUCUUGGCUCUACGUGUCUUAACUCUGCACCAAUCCUCCCGACUGUGCAGAAUUUCACUUUGGAGAGCAGAGGCAAACGGAGAUUCACACAGAGGGGCAGGAGCCGUCAAUGCUGUCUAGUGAGAGGAGAGAAGAGGCAUUGUAAGUCCCCAUAGCACUGCUGUUGGGCUACCCUGCCAGUCAAUGCCACUUUUCCCACAGGCUCCAGCCUCAACUUCCCCUGGUGCAAUAUGAUGAUGGGAAGAAGGGCUCCUAAGAGGAAACUGAUUUAAGUAUCUCUGUUUUUCAGAAAACACUUCCAAUUGCUCUCUCAAGAAUGCGUUUCUAUUUCAUGAGUUGAUGUCAUAUUUUUAGGGGGAGGGAUGUAUGGAGAGAGAAAACUUUCAAAUAUCUGGAAAUCAGUGGUAUGAUGAGCCCUGUUCUCUGCUGCUCCAAGUACAAUACCAAAGCAUGUGGUGGAAGUGAUGGGACAGAUUUGGUUCCAUAUUAGAACUUCCUACUUGUAUGUUGAAUUUUAACGGAUGGCUGGGAGUAACAUCCACUUUACGGAGGUAUAUAAGCAAGCUCCAGACAGUAACUUGGUAUGGAGACUAUGCCAAGGAUCCCAUUGUCAGAAGGGAAGUAUGGUGUUGGGGAAGGAUAUUUCUCCCUCCCCUCCCCAUAGUGCCAUCCUCUGCUUAUAGAGGAGGAAAUAGCUACCCAAGCUUUAGCCCCUCCCGCUGCCCUAUGGAAGGAAUACAUUCCACUCUGAACUAAAGCUGGCAUCUUUGGUGCCACAUUUUAACAGAGGGUCGAGUUACUGUAUCUUGAGAAAGACAUGGGUACGUCAUGCUUCCUUCCACUAUCUGUACCCACUCAAAGUGAAUCGUUCCCCACUGUUCUCUUUAAAUUUUUGCUUCAUGUAGCAGAGAUUCAGGGUCUCGCUCCCCUUCUCCUCCUGACACAAAAGGCAGUCAGACUGAACAGUGGGAUAAGCCCUGAAGAUGGCUGGGAACAGCCACCGGUGGAAAGGGAACCCUUCUUUGCUGCCUUUCUCAUUGCCCCAGCACUGCUAAGUGCAGCAGAUUGGCCUUUUUCACAUUGCAGGGAUGAGAUCCUCAGGAUUUGAGAGGGUUCAUCUGGCUUCCAGGAUUAAACUGUGUUUUCAAAUCGAUCUUUUGACAAAGCCCAACAAUAGAGUUAUUUCUGUUUACCCAUGCAUUUCUAUUAACCCAAGGUGGUGCCUCCUUUCCCACUCAGCUAUCAAUCUUUGUAUGUAUAAUCAAACCCCCAAAUAUAUCUCCAACCAAACUUUCACAACUACAGUGGCACACUCACACAGAGUGAUCUAAAUGGAACACGGGUUUUCUAUAACCACAACCAAACCAUAAACGGCAUUUUAUAUACAUUAUCAUCCAGAAAGCAAUCAGAUUUUUUCAUAGCAAAUGGUAAGAUAUAAUAAAAGGAAAUUUGAGAAUUAUCAUAUAACUUAUAAUGUCUCUUUUAGCCCUAAGGUCCUAAGAUUCAGUGACAUGUGGUGUUUUCUCUUUUUCCUACCACUUUUUCAGCUUAAUUAUUAUCUACAGAGAUUAAAAACACAACUAAAAUUUCUGCAGAUUCACAGUGCUAUUUCAGAAUAGAUUUUACCCCUUAGUACCUUCUAUUUAAUCAAUUAAUGAGAAUACUUUGGAGCCCACUGCAGAAACUAUAAAUUCCAAAUGGUUCCUCAGAACAUGUCAUCAUCAAACCAGUUAGGCUGGCGUUGGUAAAUACCACAGCCUGCAGUUGCCAUGUGUUACAAAAACAAUAAACAGAUACCCUUCAUACCUCUCCCUUCCCUAAAACAAUUAUUCCUAUAAAAGUCUGUCUCUCCAGAUUUUUUGUUGUGGUGUUUCUGAUACCAGUACAAUCAGAAAGUAAUGAAAGUGUUCACUGAAAGGAAGUUUUCACUGAGCAUUGCAGGCCAAUGAGAAUGCAGAUUAACUCAAAUAAACUUUGGAAUGCCAGCCAAACCCAUGAAACUUGUCAGCAGUUCAUCUACUGAGAGUGGUUAUGCUUUUUCAGUAGUACCUUAUCCUGAAAUAACCUGAUGGAAAAGCCAGUGUCGGAUGACACAUGACAUCAAGUGUUCAAUGCAAAUUCUGCUGGCAUACUAUCCUGUUUGACUCCCUUGCUCUUGAGCCUUCCACAGUUGGUAAUAAGGAACUGAGUACCUUUGCAAUCUCCAGUAAAACAUGUGUGAUGGAAAUGUAAUUCCUUAGGGAAGCAAUUCCCAAUGGCAUACAUAGAUUUGAUUUUUGGGUUGAAAAGUAGUAAAUGACGAAUUGAAGUUUCUUUUUCUCUACUUAAAAACUAUUCUUGACAUUAAUUUUACUUGUAUUUGUUAACCAGUUUACAUUUUAUUUUGUUACUGAGACACUCAAAAGUGUCUAUAUUUUAGUCAAAGCUAAAACUGAAAGACUUUAGCAAAUUGACUUUUCUCUUUCUCCCAACAAACAUUAACUCAGUAUUUUACCUAGCUUUAUUUUCAAAUAUGGAGUUUUAUAGCACCUUGAUUUAUAGCUGGGCGUAAGAAAAGGUUAUGUCAGCAUUUACAUUAUAAGGCCAUGGUUUUGUGGUUUAUAACUAAGCCAUAAAAAUAAUUCUGACUAAAAUUUGGAAUGCCAGUUUCCACCUUGAAACGCAAGUGUGUCCCUAGCUGUAUGACCACACACACACACACACACACACACACACACAUCAGAAUUCAACAACUGCUGUUUUGUAUAAUACAUUUAUUCAAUAUAUUGCUUUGAUUAAAAAUGAACUCAAAGAAAGUCAAGGCUAUGAAGUGAAUUCAAACAAAGCUGUCAUCUAAUGGUAACAACUUAUAUCCUAAGAUAUAUUUUAGUAGAUUUGAAAGUUGAUUUAAUGACAAAAGAAUUUACUGUAUAGUUUUCAUAGUUAAAGAAUAAAGGACAGAAAGAUGAAGUGAGACCUCCACACACAAAAAAAUAGCCUUUUCUUAAUAAGAAAUGUUUGCAACAUUCUUCCACGCUGUAUGGUAGAUAUUCUCUGAAUCUCUUUGCAGAUGUGAUCUAACGUCCUUGAACACAUUUAUUACAAUCCAUCAUCUACAUGGCAACAGUCAGGGCCAUGCUCAUAAACCAGAACUGGUGCUAGAUCUGGUAAGUCAUUAAGCAAACAUAUUCCUGUGUUGUGCGUGGCGUGCAUGCCCACUGCCUGCCUAUAAAACGGAAAUAAGAUUUCUGAUUUGCAAAUUACCUCCUAAGACAUGUAAAGCUAGCUCCUUUAAUCCACAUUACUCAUUUUUGUAUUUUGACUGUUUCAAAUGCUAAAACAGACCUGAAUACAGUUUCCACAGUUCUCUUUAUAAUUAUUGUAUUUUUCAUUUACAUGAUCAUGAAACCUGUUAGCAAGUGAGAAACAGAAUCAUUUUCACUGAGACAAAAAAUAUUGAGAAUUAGGGGGAGAAACUCUGAAGCAAUAUAAACAACAGAGUCUAAUCUUAUCAAAGAGAGAAGGCAGUUGGUGAAUCUGAAAGAUCACUUACUUACCACUCAAUCAUAGAACUUAUACCCCCAAAUAGGAUUUAAGAAAGAAAAAAGCAAUUUAGUAGGAACUGGAAGUUAUAGGGCAUAGGUCUGCUUUAGUUGGUGACAAAAAUUAUGCCUCAGAGGUUAAGAGCAUGGAUUAGGGUGCUGGGUUGCCUGGUUUAAAUCCUAGCUCUGGCACUUACUACUGCAUGGUCCUUGACCAGUUAUUUAACUACUCUGUGCCUCGGCUUCCCAGUGUGGAAAGCAGAAAAACAGUAUCUCCCUUACAGAGAGGCUUUAAAGUUUAAAUGCAUUAACAAAGGGAAAAUCCUUUCAAUGUUGACACAUCAUGAGUGUGACAUAAGUAUUACCUAUUAUUUUUAUUAUGUGACCAAAUGUGGAAGAAAAAUUCUAUAAGAAAGUAGUAACAUUGUUUAGUCUUUCAAAAAUCAUAUAUUCUCCUCCAAUCCUGGCUCUCUGCAAUUCAAGAAAUCCUAACAAAUAGAAAACCUUUGUACACAGGAGAAAACGGAGAUGAGCAAAGGCAAUAUUUGGCUUAUUUGUUAUAACCCUAAUAAAACAAGACUGCUUGAAGAAAUAGACCAAAUUGUGGAAUGUUUAACAUUGAUCCAGGACUGGCUCUUCUGAGGAAAAGAUAUAAUAUUUAUCAUGUGGCCAAUUUUGUCUGUGAAGAUAAGGAGGAACUAAUCGGUCUCAACUUCAUGAUGUUGCUUAAAGGAGCAUAUAAAUGUACGAUCAUAAGUAUCCUUUAAAUGAAGGGGUUGGUUUUAUGACUGCAGAAGUGAGAAAGAGUAAGGUCAUUUAGCCUGAGCAACACAGCAAAACCUUGUCUCUACUAAAAAUUAAACAAAACAACCAAAAAAUCACUCAGGUGUGGUGGCGCAUGCCUGUGGUCCCAACUACUCAGGAGGCUGAGGUGGGAGGAUUGCUUGAGCCUGAGAGGUGGAGGUUGCAGUGAGCCUUGAUUGCGCCACAGCACUCUAGCCUGGGUGACAGAGCAAGACUGUCAAAAAAGGAAAGAAAAGAAAGAAAAGAAAAAGAAAGAAACUAAAACAGAAAGAAAAGAAAGAAAGAAUGGGAGAGAGAGAGGAAGGAAGGAAGGAAGGAGAAAGAAGA
Molecule: long non-coding RNA, 7880 nt
Filed under: Homo sapiens (human)
Lineage: Eukaryota; Metazoa; Chordata; Mammalia; Primates; Hominidae
Description: long non-coding RNA NONHSAT200547.1
Source: RNAcentral